ACUCCAAAUGCUGAACUCCUCCUCCUCAUCAUCAUCAUCUCACAGGGCGCAUCUGCAGGCUGCAGCAGCACAGCGAAAUGACUUUAUCCGGAUACAUUUAAACUUUUCAUCUCGGUUCACUGGAUAUCUACCAACCAGAGAUGAACGAUAUUUAGGUCGAAAUCAAUCAAUAAAUUCAAGUAGUGAGUUUUAAAUUCACUGUAUCACUUUUAAUAUCCUAUAAUUCAAUUCGGAAUGGGAUUACGCAUACUAGGCAUGCCACUUUACGCAUACGCGUGCGUCUAUUUAAUUGUUUUCAUUCUUCAAACUGCCCAGUCUCAAAGAAAUGCAGCAAAUACACAAGGAAAUACCCAAAGAGCGCCUCUUCGGCAGACACUACAGUGGUCACACAACGGCAAGAUUUUUAGCAUUUUAAGUCAUGGCUCAGAGUAUCAGCCGGCGAGGCGCAGGGGCGCACCUCAGGAGCAAGUGCAGUCACGACCUGUCACCAUCAUCCGCGAUGCGGACGUGAGACAUCCGGGCGCAUCGAGCCAGACGCCGACCCAGCAGCAGCAGCAGCAGCAGCAGCAGCAGCCUCCCCGGCCGGCGUCCAACCCGCACAGCCCCCGCGGACUCCCCCCUCCGCUCCAAAGGCUCCUGAGAGGACAAGAGCCGCACCAGCAUCAGCAUGAGCGGCCUGAGGAGCACAGGGACAGCAGAGCCAAUGACACCACACAGAAGGUCACUGUCAGUCCACCUGUGCCCAGGAGAGAGGACAUGAUGGUGGGCGAUGACCCCUACGACCCCUACAAGUCCAUCGACGGUGACAAUCCAUAUUAUAAUUACUAUGAUGUUUAUGAGACACCGAGGAGGAGACAAAGACCUGGAUACGGCACAAGGUACCACCAGUACGGUCUGCCUGAUCUCGUACCAGAUCCCUACUACAUUCAAGCCUCUGCUUAUGCACAGAGAGUUCCCAUGUACAACCUGAGAUGUGCAGCUGAGGAAAACUGUUUGUCAAGUUCCGCAUACAGAGGCAGUGUUCGAGACUAUGACACCCGCAUGCUGCUGAGGUUUCCACAGAGAGUCAAGAACCAGGGGACCGCAGACUUUCUCCCCAGCAGGCCACGUUACUCCUGGGAGUGGCACAGCUGUCACCAACACUACCACAGUAUGGACGAGUUCAGCCACUAUGACCUGUUGGACGCCACCACGCACCGGUCAGUGGCGGAGGGCCAUAAAGCCAGCUUCUGCCUGGAGGACACUUCAUGUGACUACGGCUACUACAGGAGAUUUGCCUGCACCGCACAUACCCAGGGUCUGAGUCCAGGAUGCUACGAUACCUACAACGCAGACAUUGACUGCCAGUGGAUCGACAUUACAGAUGUGAAGCCUGGAAACUAUAUCCUCAAGAUCAGUGUAAAUCCUUAUUAUCAGGUCCCAGAAACUGACUACAGCAACAACAUUGUGCGCUGUGACGUUCGCUACACCGGCAACUACGCCUAUGUGUCAGGUUGUCACAUGUCAACGUAUUAAGAGAUGAAUGUCAUUCAGAGCACAUCGCUGGAGACGUUUUGUAAAUGACAGUGAGAAGGACUGCAUAUGAACUGAUAUAAUGAUAUUAAAAUCUACUUUGAAAUGUAUUUCAUUUUGUAAUUUAAAAUACUCAAAUGUAGAAGAAAAGAGGAAUCAUCCGACUUAUAACAGUAGUUUUUCUUUAGUGCCAGAUAAUAUUUUCUUUACUAUUGUGGAAAGUUGUUUCUUUACUGAAUGGUACUUCAUAUUCCUCUCUCACACUUUCUUGGAACUCUGUUUUUUCUUAUUUGAUUGCCUUAUUCUGUAUGAGUGUGUUUGAUGCCAUUUGUCCAAAUAAAAUCCACCAUAUGUAGAUAACUGCAAAGUA
Molecule: RNA transcript, 1882 nt
Organism: Sphaeramia orbicularis (orbiculate cardinalfish)
Lineage: Eukaryota; Metazoa; Chordata; Actinopteri; Kurtiformes; Apogonidae
Gene: loxa
Gene name: lysyl oxidase a
Exons: 8
Source: RefSeq, a predicted model, not a curated record